This is a long non-coding RNA of Scylla paramamosain (green mud crab), 2281 nucleotides long. RefSeq lists it as uncharacterized. NCBI's taxonomy places the organism in Eukaryota, Metazoa, Arthropoda, Malacostraca, Decapoda, Portunidae. The transcript is spliced from 4 exons. The record is from RefSeq and is a predicted model, not a curated record.
AGCGAGUCCCGCCUCCUCCACCCUCAGUCUGGUGUUUGCCAGUGGAGCGAAGGGUUGAGGCUUUCGUUCUCUUGUGUGCUACCGGUGUUUGGUGCUGUAAUCACCACCACUGCUGUCACCACCCGUCACCACCGCGACCACCACCGCCACCAUGGGCACCACCCCUAUGGUGUCGCCUAUACGCAUGCUGCCCCUACUUCUCGUCGCUCUCGCCAUACGCUCAGUGUUGCAGAAGUAUGUAAGUGAAGUGUCUACCUUGUGUCUUGUCAUCCAUGUGGCCACUGUGUUGAUUGCGUCACUGCCUGAGUGUCUGCGCUGCCUCAUUUUCACAUGCACACUACCACUGCAAGAGUCACGUGUACUACUACUGUUAUUAUGGGUGGCAUUUGGUAGACAGUCCCUUCCUCUACCACGUGAUGUGCUUCAGUGGCAUCUUGCUGUGGCUUCAUGCGCUCUGCUCGCUCCCUAGGCUUAGUGGUCGAAGCAUCAACGCGUCACACCACCCCACAUGGCCUGCACUCACUGUUGUGGGCUUUGCAACACGUCAAUAAGAUGAUUGGUAGAUUGUUGUCAGAGAGAGAGAGAGAGAGAGAGAGAGAGAGAGAGAGAGAGAGAGAGAGAGAGAGAGAGAGAGAGAGAAUAAAGUUGAAUGCAGGCUUUAAGUGUGUUUAAUUACUUACUCACGUUGACCACUAAUGAGUAGUAAAUGACAAAAUUAAAAUAUAGUUUUUCUACCACCAUCAUCACCACCACCACUGAUCUACUACCGGUAAUACCACCACCACCACUACUACCACCACAAAUCUACCACAACAACAACUACGACUACGACUACUACUACUACUACUACCACCAGCACAGUGACGGUUGGUGUAUUGUGAGGAUCCGCUGCAUUGAGGCCUCGUAAUGGGGAUGAUGAUGCAUGCCGGGCCAUCCGUCACCAGCUUGGCAGGGGCGCUAGUGGCAGGCAGCCCGCCGAUUAUCUGUCAGGGGAGGUGUGCCGUGAGAACCUGUCAGGGAAUUACAGGAGUGUCAAAUGGUGUUUUACAUGAGCUGUAAGAAUAAUAAUGACAACAACAAUAAGAAUACGAAUAAUAAUAAUAAUAAUAAUAAUAAUAAUAAUAAUAAUAAUAUUAAUAAUAAUGUUUUAUUUUUUCAUGUGUAUCUUCAGUAAAUCGCUUUGCAUAAUUUAAGUAAUAAUAUUCAGUGUCUUUCAGUGUCCCAUAAAUAUUUGUAACGAGGCUCAGGUUGCGUUGCGUGGAGGCGUUAUUGCUACAAACCGGGCCAUGAUAAUGUUAACAGCCAAUCCUUCACUCAAUGUGUGUGGUAGUUCGCUGUGUCUGUCAGUGCCCCAUAAAUGCCUGUAAUGCUUGGCUCAGGCUAGCCUGGAGUGGCGCAGCGUGGUGGUGGUGUUCUUACAGAGGAGUCAGAGUAAUGCCAAUCUCAGUAACAUCUAUGUAAUGGUAUCCCGUGCCUUUCAGUAGCCCAUAAUGCCUGUAGUGCUUGGCUCUUUGAGGCGGCGCAGCGUGGCGGCGGUGUUCUUACAAAGGGCGUGACGGUAACGCCAUCCAGCACGGGGCUGUGUUUACAUGGGCAAGACCCGCCGACCUCUGGGCAGCUGGCCUGGAACAGAGGUGAGCUGCGGCCUCGGUGUGACCAGCCCGGGUGAUGUAGAGAGUGUAGUUGGAUGCUAAGUGGCAUCACGGCUUUAAACGUGCAGGAGACAGGAGAGUGGAGUGUUUGUACAGCGUCUUGCUCCGCCCUCCCUCCCCGCCACGGUGCUGCAUGGAGGCGGCGGCGAUGCGCCCUGCAUGGGGAGGGACGGGUGAUGCACGCCGCGGCAUUGCCCAGCCUCCCCGCGCCCACCGUGCUGCCACGGCCUGUGGCAAGGGAAUAAAAAGAGGACAUUAGCAGCAGCUGGAAUGUAACUGCAACUCUUCGGGCGUCGGACUGCCCCGCUCGGCUCUCCCUCUCCUCUCCUGCCUCGCCUCCCUCUCCCAUCCAGACUCGCGUGAAUGAGAUGCCAAAAGUUUCCAGCCCGGUAGAUUAUUUCAAUACUUCGCCAUACGCUUUUCCUCGCCGCAUGGCUUUGUUUGGCCGUCGCGGGGUGCACGGCCUGGACCCCGUGGCGUAGGCGUGCCCCACGUGCACCUCGGGGCCUCGGACAGCACGUGGUAAUGGCUGAGAUGUGUAUCGGGAAGGCGUGCAACCUGUCCUGUGCACCAAUCGAUCUGAAGGUAACGCCGGUCAUUUUUGCAUAUAUUUACGUUUUUUCCCGUAG